Molecule: ribosomal RNA, 229 nt
Filed under: uncultured bacterium
Lineage: Bacteria
Description: partial 16S ribosomal RNA
Rfam family: Bacterial small subunit ribosomal RNA
Source: RNAcentral
UACGUAGGCGGAAAAUUAAGUCAGUGGUGAAAUCCUGCAGCUUAACUGUAGAACUGUCAUUGAUACUGGUUUUCUUGAAUACAGUUGAGGUAGGCGGAAUGUGUAAUGUAGCGGUGAAAUGCUUAGAUAUUACACAGAACACCGAUUGCGAAGGCAGCUUACUAAACUGUUAUUGACGCUGAGGUAUGAAAGCGUGGGGAGCGAACAGGAUUAGAUACCCUGGUAGUCC